GAAGGACGGGGGGCGAGAGCUAAUAACUAGACCGGGAGGCGAGAGCGUGCGGGUGCGGAGACUCCGGGCGGGAAGAAGGACGAGCGGGAAGUCAAGGCUCCAGCCUCUAAAUGUGGUUUGAUAUGUACUACCUUGAGACAUGAACCAGCGGUAUUCUGUUCAUACCCACUCAGAGAUGUCUUGACCUGAAUGCAAUGCAGUCUCACACCCGGAAGUGGAUGCUGGACCCAAAGACAG
RNAcentral lists this long non-coding RNA (237 nucleotides) under Sus scrofa (pig). RNAcentral's name for it is "lncRNA (ENSSSCG00015078039.1)". Lineage: Eukaryota; Metazoa; Chordata; Mammalia; Artiodactyla; Suidae. The record is from RNAcentral.